Molecule: ribosomal RNA, 285 nt
Filed under: Haloarcula sp. enrichment culture clone TTGE_BC_244
Lineage: Archaea; Methanobacteriati; Methanobacteriota; Halobacteria; Halobacteriales; Haloarculaceae
Description: partial 16S ribosomal RNA
Rfam family: Archaeal small subunit ribosomal RNA
Source: RNAcentral
UUGGGGGGACCCGAUUUAAGCCAUGCUAGGUUGCCGAGUUCAAACUCGUAGCAUAUAGCUCAGUAACACGUGGCCAAACUACCCUACAGACCGCAAUAACCUCGGGAAACUGAGGCCAAUAGCGGAUAUAACUCUCAGGCUGGAGUGCCGAGAGUUAGAAACGUUCCGGCGCUGUAGGAUGUGGCUGCGGCCGAUUAGGUAGAUGGUGGGGUAACGGCCCACCAUGCCGAUAAUCGGUACAGGUUGUGAGAGCAAGAGCCUGGAGACGGUAUCUGAGACAAGAUA